CCUACGGGUGGCAGCAGUGGGGAAUAUUGCACAAUGGGCGCAAGCCUGAUGCAGCCAUGCCGCGUGUAUGAAGAAGGCCUUCGGGUUGUAAAGUACUUUCAGCGGGGAGGAAGGUGUUGUGGUUAAUAACCACAGCAAUUGACGUCACCCGCAGAAGAAGCACCGGCUAACUCCGUGCCAGCAGCCGCGGUAAUACGGAGAGUGCAAGCGUUAAUCGGAAUUACUGGGCGUAAAGCGCACGCAGGCGGUCUGUCAAGUCGGAUGUGAAAUCCCCGGGCUCAACCUGGGAACUGCAUUCGAAACUGGCAGGCUAUAGUCUUGUAGAGGGGGGUAGAAUUCCAGGUGUAGCGGUGAAAUGCGUAGAGAUCUGGAGGAAUACCGGUGGCGAAGGCGGCCCCCUGGACAAAGACUGACGCUCAGGUGCGAAAGCGUGGGGGGCAAACAGGAUUAGAUACCCUCGUAGUC
RNAcentral lists this ribosomal RNA (465 nucleotides) under uncultured bacterium. RNAcentral's name for it is "bacterial SSU rRNA". It matches the Rfam family "Bacterial small subunit ribosomal RNA", at positions 338 to 795 of the family's 1533-position model. The record is from RNAcentral.